UCUAGGUAGUAGUGUUACAGAUAGAGAAAUCACAAGAUAUUAUCAUAUAAGUACUUUGUCUAGCAAUCCUUUGUUGAUUUCUCUUUCUUAGCCUAUUCGGAUCAAGGGACUCUGCCAGAGUAGGUUAAUCUUAGACUCUUUUGUCAGUUUGGGCUUCUUAACCUAAGCACGACUCUUUAGCACCUUCUUUUCUUUCUCAAAGAAUUGUUAUCCCACCGA
This 219-nucleotide long non-coding RNA is filed under the name Elaeis guineensis (African oil palm). RNAcentral describes it as "long non-coding RNA (EGUI_LNC040861)". Lineage: Eukaryota; Viridiplantae; Streptophyta; Magnoliopsida; Arecales; Arecaceae. The record is from RNAcentral.